CCUACGGGAGGCAGCAGUGAGGAAUAUUGGUCAAUGGACGAGAGUCUGAACCAGCCAAGUAGCGUGAAGGAUGACUGCCCUAUGGGUUGUAAACUUCUUUUAUAUGGGAAUAAAAUGUUCCACGUGUGGGAUUUUGUAUGUACCAUAUGAAUAAGGAUCGGCUAACUCCGUGCCAGCAGCCGCGGUAAUACGGAGGAUCCGAGCGUUAUCCGGAUUUAUUGGGUUUAAAGGGAGCGUAGGUGGUUGGUUAAGUCAGUUGUGAAAGUUUGGGGCUCAACCGGAAAAUUGCAGUUGAAACUGGCAGUCUGGAGUACAGUAGAGGUGGGCGGAAUUCGUGGUGUAGCGGUGAAAUGCUUAGAUAUCACGAAGAACUCCGAUUGCGAAGGCAGCUCACUGGACUGCAACUGACACUGAGGCUCGAAAGUGUGGGUAUCAAACAGGAUUAGAUACCCUUGUAGUC
This 460-nucleotide ribosomal RNA is filed under the name uncultured bacterium. RNAcentral describes it as "partial 16S ribosomal RNA". It matches the Rfam family "Bacterial small subunit ribosomal RNA", at positions 338 to 795 of the family's 1533-position model. The record is from RNAcentral.